This 28-nucleotide non-coding RNA is filed under the name Bombyx mori (domestic silkworm). Lineage: Eukaryota; Metazoa; Arthropoda; Insecta; Lepidoptera; Bombycidae. The record is from RNAcentral.
AAACGUCCAUAAUGCGCACCACACCGUC